Molecule: long non-coding RNA, 510 nt
Filed under: Equus caballus (horse)
Lineage: Eukaryota; Metazoa; Chordata; Mammalia; Perissodactyla; Equidae
Description: lncRNA (ENSECAG00000046383.1)
Source: RNAcentral
CAAAGAGAAGAGAGAGAGGGAAAGCUCGGAAUGCUAGAGAGGUUUUAUUCACGUGUCUUUCCAGAGAACCACAGAACACACUCCGAUAUAUUUCAACAUCUGCAUCGCUAUCAAGACCACUUCUCAUCAAAUGAUUCUCUCAUCUCCAGAGGACCUGUAUGCCUUGUCAGCUUUGGACUGCAUGGACCCAACCUUCCAGUCCACUGAACCUCCUUCCUGUACCCUCAUGGCCCCAUUUUGGGACAGCUCUAUGACCUUGUUCAGCCAGAAGUAGUUACAGAAGUUGCAGGUCCUUCUAGUUGUGGGAUGUGGGACGCCGCCUCAACGUGGCCUGACGUGUGGUGCCAUGUCCGCACCCAGGAUCCGAUCCCUGGGCCGCUGCAGUGGAGCACGCAAACUUAACCACUCGGCCACGGAGCCGGCCGCCUUUUGAUGGCUUUUUUACAUGAUCUUUCCUUUGUCUUGUAAAGAAAUAACUCACAUACCUGUGCCUUAUAAAUUUAGCCCUAC